Molecule: long non-coding RNA, 208 nt
Filed under: Elaeis guineensis (African oil palm)
Lineage: Eukaryota; Viridiplantae; Streptophyta; Magnoliopsida; Arecales; Arecaceae
Description: long non-coding RNA (EGUI_LNC074393)
Source: RNAcentral
CCCAAUCAACUGGCAAUUCAUGCAAGGAAGAUCACGAAAACAAUCCAAUGUGAUUUCCUUAAUUGCCUUGAUUUUUCAUCCAAAGAAAAUCUUGAAAACAAUCCAACAUAAUUUUCUCAAUUGCCUUGAUUUCCCAUGCAAGAAAGAUCAUGAAAACAACCCAACGUGAUUUUCUCAAUUGCCUUGAUGUAUUUCCACUUUUCCUGCC